Molecule: ribosomal RNA, 359 nt
Filed under: uncultured bacterium
Lineage: Bacteria
Description: partial 16S ribosomal RNA
Rfam family: Bacterial small subunit ribosomal RNA
Source: RNAcentral
CCUACGGGGGGCAGCAGUGAGGAAUAUUGGUCAAUGGGCGCGAGCCUGAACCAGCCAAGUCGCGUGAGGGAAGACGGUCCUAUGGAUUGUAAACCUCUUUUGUCGGGGAGCAAAAGACGCCACGCGUGGCGUUCCGAGAGUACCCGAAGAAAAAGCAUCGGCUAACUCGGUGCCAGCAGCCGCGGUAAUACGGAGGAUGCGAGCGUUCUCCGGAUUUAUUGGGUUUAAAGGGUGAGCAGGCGGGAGAUCAAGUUAGCGGUAAAAUUGAGAGGCUCAACCUCUUCGAGCCGUGGAAACUGGAUUUCUUGAGUGAGUGAGAAGUAAGCGGAAUGCGUGGUGUAGCGGUGAAAUGCAUAGAU